GAUAUAACCAAAACGAUCAGAAGAAGAUGGCGACGGAUGUAAACAUGAUCAACAUCAAAGUCGUAUUUUUUUUGUGGAUAAAAUCACUAAACUGUUAGUUACUCGGUGUUCUGGCUGUUUCAUCCUUUCUUUUUGAUUAAUUAAUCAUUUCAUUAAUUUAAAAGAAAAGAAAGUUGAGUUUCGGAAGAAUUUAUUGAAAGAUGUUUUGGCUGUGGAUUAUUGCCUUAUUGGCGAGUGCCGAUUCCGCUGCUGCUUCGAAUGGGUUCGAUUUCGGUGACACUUUAGCAUUAAUUAUUGGGCUUAUUAUUGGGAUCGUCGGGUUUUUCGCGUGCAUGGGGGCUUAUGCACGGAGGAGGAGUCGAUUUGAUUCGAUUUAAAGAUUCGUUGUUUUCUGACAAUUGACAAGUUGAUUUUGGGUGCUGAAGAAGAUGAAUUUUAAAGGAUAUCAAGAGGAUAAAAAAAAGUUUAUGCUAUUCUCAAUUCAUUGGAGAGUACCCAUCAUAAUCAACUUUUGAGGAACAAAUAUCAAGUUAAAAAUACGAAGCAAUCUAAAUAUUAUAUUUUUCAUGGAAUAAAAGAGCCUUAAGGAAUAACGAAUAAUCUGUCUGUAACAAUAUGGAAUAAACAGCGACCUUUAUUUUA
This is a long non-coding RNA of Diachasma alloeum, 642 nucleotides long. RefSeq lists it as uncharacterized. The transcript has 3 exons. Lineage: Eukaryota; Metazoa; Arthropoda; Insecta; Hymenoptera; Braconidae. The record is from RefSeq and is a predicted model, not a curated record.